AUGUCGGUGGAGACGGAGCGGAGCUCCACGGAGUCCUCCGCCGCCUCGGGCCUUGACUUCGAGGACACCGCCCUCACCCUCCGCCUCCCCGGCUCCGACCCCGACCGCAAGCGCGCCUCCACCUCCGACCCCGACUGCCCCUCCCCGACCGCCGCCGCCUCAGACUCUCCCCCUUCCCCCAAGGCGCAGGUGGUGGGCUGGCCACCGGUGCGGUCGUUCCGGAAGAACGCCCUCGCGGCCGCGGCCUCGUCCAAGACCAAGUUCGUCAAGGUGGCCGUCGACGGCGCGCCCUACCUGCGCAAGGUCGACCUCAAGGCUUACGCGGGCUACACAAGCUCUGCCUCCUACGACCAGCUCCUCGCCACGCUCCAGGACAAGUUCAUCUCCCACCUCACCGUCCGCAAGCUUGGGAACGAGGAGAUGAAGCUCGUGGACGCGGUGAGCGGGACGGAGUAUGUGCCGACGUACGAGGACAAGGACGGCGACUGGAUGCUCGUCGGAGACGUCCCCUGGAGAAUGUUUGUGGAGACCUGCCAGCGCAUUCGUCUCAUGAAAAGCUCUGAGGUUGUCAAUCUAGCACCAAGAUCUGGUCGGUGA
RNAcentral lists this ribosomal RNA (597 nucleotides) under Triticum aestivum (bread wheat). Its description in RNAcentral is "partial small subunit ribosomal RNA". Lineage: Eukaryota; Viridiplantae; Streptophyta; Magnoliopsida; Poales; Poaceae. The record is from RNAcentral.